GAAUUGAGGUUAAAGAUUUAUCGCUGAAGGAUGAGUCUGCGUGGGAUUAGCUAGUUGGUGGGGUAACGGCUCACCAAGGCGACGAUCCCUAGCUGGUCUGAGAGGAUGGCCAGCCACACUGGAACUGAGACACGGUCCAGACUCCUACGGGAGGCAGCAGUAGGGAAUAUUGCGCAAUGGGGGAAACCCUGACGCAGCGACGCCGCGUGAGUGAUGAAGGCCUUAGGGUCGUAAAGCUCUGUUGUACGGGAAGAAACAAAUGACGGUACCGUAUAAGAAAGGACCGGCUAACUUCGUGCCAGCAGCCGCGGUAA
Molecule: ribosomal RNA, 314 nt
Filed under: uncultured delta proteobacterium
Lineage: Bacteria; Deltaproteobacteria
Description: bacterial SSU rRNA
Rfam family: Bacterial small subunit ribosomal RNA
Source: RNAcentral